AGGGAUGAAAUCGUAUGAUCAGCGGAAUCAUAAUCCGCGUGUCGGGGGUUCGAAUCCCUCCACCGCUA
This 68-nucleotide transfer RNA is filed under the name Mariniblastus sp. RNAcentral's name for it is "tRNA-Ser". The record is from RNAcentral. Lineage: Bacteria; Pseudomonadati; Planctomycetota; Planctomycetia; Pirellulales; Pirellulaceae.